This 1226-nucleotide ribosomal RNA is filed under the name Halimeda renschii. RNAcentral describes it as "SSU rRNA". It matches the Rfam family "Eukaryotic small subunit ribosomal RNA". The record is from RNAcentral. Lineage: Eukaryota; Viridiplantae; Chlorophyta; Ulvophyceae; Bryopsidales; Halimedaceae.
GCGGUAAUUCAAGCUCCAAUAGCGUAUAUGUAAAUUGUUGCGGUUGAAAAGCUCGUAGUUGGACUUCUGGCGACCGCGUUCGGUCCGCCAAGCGCGUGCACUGUCCGCGGUCGUCGUCUCUGUCGACGUGGCGCGUCGGCCUUAGUUCGUCGGUGCGUCGUCUGUCGGCGAUGUUACUUUGAGGAAAUCAGAGUGCUCAAGGCAAGCGUUCGCUCGUGACUUCACUAGCAUGGAAUAACACAGAUGGGCUCUUUCUCGCACUGUUGGUCUGCGUCAAUUGAGCAACGAUCGAUAGAGACGGUCGGGGGCAUUCGUAUUGCGCAGUUAGAGGUGAAAUUCUCCGAUCUGCGCAAGACGCACUAAUGCGAAAGCAGUUGCCAAGGACGUCCUCUCAUGAUCAAGAGCGAAAGUCGGGGGAUCAAAGAUGAUUAGAUACCGUCGUAGUCCCGACCAUAAAUGAUGCCGACUGAGCUUCGGCGACUCGACCUCAGGUCGUAUGUCGGCGCUCUUAGAGAAAUUAAAGUCUUUGGGCUCCGGGGGUAGUAUGGUCGCAAGUCUGAAACUUGAAGGAAUUGACGGAAGGGCACCACAAGGCGUGGAUGUUGCGGCUUAAUUUGACUCAACACGGGAAAGCUUACUAGGUUUGGACACCUUUGUGAUGGACAGAUUGAAGCUCUUACCCUACUGCGUGGAUGGUGGUGCAUGGUCGUUCUCAGCCCGUGGGUUGACCUGUCAGGUUUACUCCGGUAACGCGCGAGACCUCGGUCUGCUAAAUAGACGCGGCUGUUCCGGCACCCGCGCUCUUCUUAGAGAGAGACUCGACGAGAGUCGAGGGAAGUCGAGGCAAUAACAGAUCUGUGAUGCCCUUAGUUAUCCUAGGUCGCACGCGCCAUACAAUGUGGCGCACAACGAGUCUCCUUGGCCGACAGGUUCUGGGCAAUCUGGCAGAGCGCUACGUGACUGGGCUAGACUUUUGUAAUUUUUGGUCUUGAACGAGGAAUGCYUAGUAAUCGCAGGUCAGCAUCCUGCGAUGAUUCGGUCCCUGCCCUUUGUACACACCGCCCGUCGCUCCAUCCGUGGCAUGCGCCGGUGAAGAGGGGGAGGCAGCGUCGGCUGGGUAACACCAGAUCGCACGUGGAACCCCUCUGAACCUUCGCACGUAGAGGAAGGAGAAGUCGUAACAAGGUUUUCGUAGGUGAACCUGCGAAAGGAUCAUUAUCGGCACA